GCAAUAACAGGUCUGUGAUGCCCUUAGAUGUCCGGGGCCGCACGCGCGCUACACUGAAGGAAUCAGCGUGUGCUUACCCCUGUCCGGCAGGAUUGGGUAACCCGUUGAACCUCCUUCGUGAUAGGGAUAGGGGCUUGUAAUUAUUCCCCUUGAACGAGGAAUUCCCAGUAAGCGCGAGUCAUAAGCUCGCGUUGAUUACGUCCCUGCCCUUUGUACACACCGCCCGUCGCUACUACCGAUUGAAUGAUUUAGUGAGGUCUUCGGACUGGUGCUCGGAGCGGCUUUCGGGUCGCGCCGGUGUACCGGAAAGAUGACCAAACUUGAUCAUUUAGAGGAAGUAAAAGUCGUAACAAGGUUUCC
This 360-nucleotide ribosomal RNA is filed under the name Stylocellus sp. Lingga 3. Its description in RNAcentral is "SSU rRNA". It matches the Rfam family "Eukaryotic small subunit ribosomal RNA", at positions 1450 to 1804 of the family's 1831-position model. The record is from RNAcentral. Lineage: Eukaryota; Metazoa; Arthropoda; Arachnida; Opiliones; Stylocellidae.